UUUCAACGGAGAGUUUGAUCCUGGCUCAGGACGAACGCUGGCGGCGUGCUUAACACAUGCAAGUCGAGCGGUAAGGCUCCUUCGGGAGUACACGAGCGGCGAACGGGUGAGUAACACGUGAGUAAUCUGCCCUCCACUUUGGGAUAAGCCUCGGAAACGAGGUCU
This 165-nucleotide ribosomal RNA is filed under the name Nocardioides lianchengensis. RNAcentral's name for it is "16S rRNA. Bacterial SSU". It matches the Rfam family "Bacterial small subunit ribosomal RNA", at positions 1 to 164 of the family's 1533-position model. The record is from RNAcentral. Lineage: Bacteria; Bacillati; Actinomycetota; Actinomycetes; Propionibacteriales; Nocardioidaceae.